UGGAAGGUGGUGUAGUGAAGCACCCAGAGUUUUGGCUUCUGGUGUAGGGGUUCGAGUCCCCUCUUUCCAC
Molecule: transfer RNA, 70 nt
Filed under: Xenodermichthys copei (bluntnose smooth-head)
Lineage: Eukaryota; Metazoa; Chordata; Actinopteri; Alepocephaliformes; Alepocephalidae
Description: tRNA-Gln
Rfam family: tRNA
About the family: Transfer RNA (tRNA) molecules are approximately 80 nucleotides in length.
Source: RNAcentral